RNAcentral lists this ribosomal RNA (245 nucleotides) under uncultured bacterium. Its description in RNAcentral is "partial small subunit ribosomal RNA". It matches the Rfam family "Bacterial small subunit ribosomal RNA", at positions 26 to 285 of the family's 1533-position model. The record is from RNAcentral.
AGAAUCAACGCUGGCGGCGUGCCUAACACAUGCAAGUCGCACGAGAAAGGGGAGCAAUCCCUGAGUAAAGUGGCGCACGGGUGAGUAACACGUGAAUAAUCUACCUCCGAGUGGGGAAUAACUGAGAGAAAUCUUAGCUAAUACCGCAUAAUACCCACGGGUCAAAGCAGCAAUGCGCUUGGAGAGGAGUUCGCGGCCGAUUAGUUAGUUGGCGGGGUAAUGGCCCACCAAGACGGUGAUCGGUA